This 442-nucleotide ribosomal RNA is filed under the name uncultured bacterium. RNAcentral's name for it is "partial 16S ribosomal RNA". It matches the Rfam family "Bacterial small subunit ribosomal RNA", at positions 338 to 795 of the family's 1533-position model. The record is from RNAcentral.
CCUACGGGAGGCAGCAGUGGGGAAUAUUGGUCAAUGGGCGCAAGCCUGACCCAGCAACGCCGCGUGAAGGAAGAAGGCUCUCGGGUUGUAAACUUCUUUUGUCAGGGAAGAGUAGAAGACGGUACCUGACGAAUAAGCCACGGCUAACUACGUGCCAGCAGCCGCGGUAAUACGUAGGUGGCAAGCGUUGUCCGGAUUUACUGGGUGUAAAGGGCGUGUAGCCGGGUUGACAAGUCAGAUGUGAAAUCCUGCGGCUUAACCGCAGAACUGCAGUUGAAACUGUUGAUCUUGAGUACUGGAGAGGCAGAUGGAAUUCCUGGUGUAGCGGUGAAAUGCGUAGAUAUUAGGAAGAACACCAGUGGCGAAGGCGGUCUGCUGGACAGCAACUGACGGUGAGGCGCGAAAGCGUGGGGAGCAAACAGGAUUAGAUACCCCAGUAGUC